RNAcentral lists this ribosomal RNA (250 nucleotides) under uncultured bacterium. RNAcentral describes it as "partial 16S ribosomal RNA". It matches the Rfam family "Bacterial small subunit ribosomal RNA", at positions 524 to 773 of the family's 1533-position model. The record is from RNAcentral.
GACGGAGGGCGCAAGCGUUGUUCGGAAUUACUGGGCGUAAAACACAGACAAACGGUCUGUUAAAUCGUUUGUGAAAAUCCGGAGCUCAACUCCGGAAAUGCGUACGAUACUGACAGGCUGGAGAUCGGUAGAGGCUAGCGGAAUUCCUGGUGUAGCGAUGGAAUGCGUAGAUACCAGGAAGAACACCUGUGGCGAAGGCGACUAGCUGGGCCGAGUCUGACGCUCAUCCGCGAAAGCGUGGGGAGCAAAC